GCUACCAACCUCUUCUCUAGUCCUGGGGCUUAGCUAGGGAGGGAUAAUUUUGUCUCUCUCAUUUCUGAUUCUGUUUCCAUAAUGAACCCUGGAUGUGUGUUGGUCCUGCUCAUUCAAGCCCUGGCACCAGUGCUGCCCCACAAGAAGCUCAGGAGGAGAAGAUGGCAUCUCCGCAAUGAUCUGAAGGCCUCUCCUUGGAGCUGACCCUACAGCUGCUUGUGAGGUACCUGAGCCCUGUUCCAGCUCCUGGCUGGGCUGUGGGGUUACAGGGUUCCUUGCUGGGGACAGAAUCCUUUGGGAGCUGGCUGAUAGCCUUGCCCUGUCCUGUCUUGUGAAGGGUGGAUAAAGGGAUGGAGGAAAGCCCACAAGAAAGCUCUGAAGAAAUCUUUCUGGACCCUCAUUAUCACUAUGACUAAGGAAUGGAUGGACACCCACAAUAUAUUUCAGGCACUGCUUUAGCAAGGUGGUGAUCCCCCUCAGCACACAGGCACUCCAAAUCAGCUGGAAACUGAAUUAAAUGUUUGAUGACAAGGUUUCCAGCACAGACCAUAACAGCUCUUCGUAGCUGAAUUGAGGACGGCUGAAAAUGUCAGGAAAGCACCUAUACAGGUGUCAAACUGCUCUCUGCAAGCAGGCACAGCACAAGGGAAGGCUGAUGGACUCAUUGCAGAGCCACUAUUUCACCUCAAACUUUUCCUGCAAGUCCUCAGCUGCUGAUUGUGCUUGGCUUUAAUGUGCUGAUGGACUUGUGAGGGUGUGGUUCUGCCCAUGCCUGUUGUGGAAGAGCUGUGUGGGUGAUUUUGAGGACUCAGAAGAUGUUUAAGCAGUUAAUCGGUUCUCUCAAUGGGGCUGGAGGGCUUGUGGGAGGGUAGCCUCUGGUGUAGGAGCAUUAAACAAUUGGCAAAACAUUAUGCUGAUUAUUCAUGUAUUAAUUGGCAGAAGAAAAAGCUCUGGGGGAGGCUCAGACUGCUAAUUUCCAUCCUGACACAGCACUGAAAGGUCUCCCCAAGCAAAAUCUACUCCCUUGAGAGCUUUCCUUCAGCUUAGUUGUGACUCUAAUAACACCCAGGAGACUCCUCCUGGGGUUAGCAUCCCUGGUUAGACAGGGUGAAGUGGUGGUGUCUUUGCAUGACUAUUCAUUUCCUGCUGGGGUCCUUAUGGGGUUAUUCCCAGUGCUGCAUUUAUGACACUUGGGUGUGAGCCCAGACAAAGCCACCAGCUACUCUGCCCUACAAAAGUGUCUCCUCUUCCUUGCAAAAUGCAACUGGGGACUUUCAGCUCUCAAAUGCCUGUUGCUUGGUGAGAAGAAAGCCAGGAACCAGCACUGCUGCGGGUGAAGAGUUCAUCCCCUUGCUAAGCUGCUCGGUGGGAAGGUCUCUGCCAGCUGUGGAGAGGGUGGAAGGCAGAGGAGAUGCAGCUGUUGCUUGGAGACAGGGAAUGACAACAGAUGAAGUUUGUUUUUUUUUCCUCACAAGCUUGUGACUGUCUGUACCUGUGAAAAAUGGACUCCAAACGCCAAUACACAGGGGAGCGAGGUGUGAAAACCCUGACCUUGGAGGCGCUGGGAGUGUGACUGUCGUGGUGCUUCAUUUAUUUUGCUGCAGUACUUUGAGGGGAUGCUGCUGGCCAGAAGCUGAGCUCAGUUUCAAGCCUUUAGCAUAGAUUAAUCUUGAGAUCCCCUAUUUUUAUUUUAAAUAGUUGCUUAUUGCCAGUCUAAACAGUCUGGUGCUGGGCCAUGCUCCAUCCCAGGGGUGAUGUGGACAUGUGGGUUUCCCGUUGUAAGGAAGUUGGUCAAUCUGUGAAUAUCAUUGUUUUGCCACAACAAAGUGUUUUGAUGUGGGCCAGGGAUUAAAUUGCUGUAUGGCAUGAAAUCAUCCCUUCCUGCUGCCAGUGAGGGGCCAAAGGCUAAUUCAUGGCAGUAAUAAGCCUUCACCAGUGGAGGAGCAGUUAUGAAGUCUUAUCUGCCUCACCCAGACCUUUAUCAGGGCAACCCCGCUUCCAGCAAGAAACAAGUGAAGUAGGAAGAGCAACACCCCCUGCUUACUUACAGAUAUUUGCCUUUUUAAUGAGAAGAAAUGAGUAAGAACAAAGUGCUCCAGGCCUGAUGCUUAGCUAAGCCUGUGUGCGCAUUGGUAAAUGUUCUUCCUGCAGGAUCAAGCCUGGUCACAGCUGUGUGGGAAUGGUCUGAGCUGGAAGACUAAACCAUGUGAGCUCCAAGUGAUCAACGGAGAGAUUUCCUGGCUCCUCAGCACAAGGAGCAAUGGCUUGCACUGACUUCAUCUUUCCAUGGGAAGCUUUCCUUGUGCUUGUCGGUCUGGCUGCUUGUCUGGGUUACUGCUGGGGUGAUGGAUGAUGGUUUGGAUGCUGUCCUGAAAAAUGUAGCCUUGGGCAUGCAGCAUUGCCUUUGGUUGUGUGCAAAGGACCAUGCUCCCUUCUGGUCCCCUGGCAAAGGAGAUGGAUGGCCCUGAGCUUCCCAGAGCAAAACUACCCUGCUUCUCUGAGCAACCCAUGAGAAAAUGAGAAUUUAUUGGAGGAAACUAACUGAAGAAUAUGGAGGGUUGAGGUGGAAAGCCUUCCAGAGCCAGUAUCCAAGCAGGUCUAACUGGGAGCUGGGGUGUUAGCUGUGUGGCUCAGUUGUGUGGGGUUGGAAGAAAGAUGCUGAAAAUGUUUGGUAUUUCAGCCCAGGACUGGGUCCCCGGGCAGGAAACGAGCUAGGGUUACCACUUAUCCCUCUUCCUCCAGUCCAGCCUGGAGGUCCUGUAAAGGUCCCCAAGAGUCUCUUUGAGAAAUGACAUCUCAAAUGACAUCUACCUCGAACUGGAGCUUUGGGAGGUGCUUGAUGCUGAUACCUUGACAGGACAAAUUGGGAAGAGGGCUCAGCCCUAGCCUGCCCUGUCCUGUAACUCUGUGCUGGCUUCAUCCUGGAUGAGGGAUAUUGGUACUUUAAAAACAAAACCAAAAACAAGCAAAAAAAAACACAAACAAACAAAAAAAAACAACUGAAUCCUACAACAAAAUACUAGUUUUCUGUUUCUUUGGGGUCUAAAAAUAUAUAAAGUGGGGCUCUCCCAGAGUGAUGUCAGGUCUCAUCACAGCAGGGCUGUCACUGGGAUUGUCCCAUCUCUCUGUUCCAGUGGCACAUGUGCAAACUGGCAGCCUCCAAGCCUCCAACUCUGGAGCUAUUUGGGUUGAAAUUGGUUGACCAGCUCCCAAGCUGAGUGUGAAUUGACAUGCAGGCAGUCCCACACAGCGUGCUAUUGUGUCUUUAGAAAACCUGGUUAAUAACAGUAAUAAACCCAGCAGCUUUAUGGCUCCGGCGAUGUAUCAGCAUGCUGUCACACUGAUGGCAAAACACUUCAAUUCCAGCAAGCAGAAAGUGAUGGGCCUGCGGAGAGACAUAUGUUCCUGCUCUAU
Anas platyrhynchos (mallard) is the source of this 3414-nucleotide long non-coding RNA. RefSeq lists it as uncharacterized. NCBI's taxonomy places the organism in Eukaryota, Metazoa, Chordata, Aves, Anseriformes, Anatidae. The record is from RefSeq and is a predicted model, not a curated record.